GUCUAUCACAUGAAAACAAAUUGAAGUAUAUUGACCUUAUUUUUUUAUUACAUAUACACUAUAUACAUGGCACAGCUGGUUCGUUUACCUAACUAAAUCACAAAAUAAACAUCUGGAUUAAAUCACAAAAUAAACAUCUGGAUUUAGAUUUUCAUCAACUUAAAUUACAAGAUUUCAAAGAGAUAACAAAACUUUUGAAAAUCAUUAUCAUCUUUGGAUUUCUAACUCUUUCUUUCUUCGAAUUCUGUCAAAAUAAUUUCUAAAUUAUUUUUGAUUUUCGUGUUUGAUAUUUAGUAUUCAAUAGCCUCUGUUCUAGAAUAGUAUAGCUAAGCAUUGGUUCGUCCGACUGCUAUAUUCAUUUUGGAAGAAGCGUUAUAUCCCGUAAGAUGGAUGUCCAUUUGAUAUCGCCCAUCAUGAAUCAGAAAAUAGAUGCCAUCGCUUGCUGGUACCCAAAAGCAUACACCACCAUUACAAGCAUAUGUAAGAUUUAUAAAAUGAGAACAGAAAAGUAUAGCAAAUUUUGAGUUGUCU
This 531-nucleotide long non-coding RNA is filed under the name Olea europaea (common olive). RNAcentral's name for it is "long non-coding RNA (OEUR_LNC014368)". Lineage: Eukaryota; Viridiplantae; Streptophyta; Magnoliopsida; Lamiales; Oleaceae. The record is from RNAcentral.